RNAcentral lists this long non-coding RNA (245 nucleotides) under Lathyrus oleraceus (garden pea). RNAcentral's name for it is "Pisum sativum (pea) long non-coding RNA (PSAT_LNC005967)". Lineage: Eukaryota; Viridiplantae; Streptophyta; Magnoliopsida; Fabales; Fabaceae. The record is from RNAcentral.
GGCAUAAGACCAAAAGUCUUAUCAAACCCAGAAUGUAAAUAAUGAAUUCUUUUCUCAUCCCCUCAUUCUAUUUUAAAAAAAAAACAUCUUUUCAACCAAAACAAGUACACACAAAAAGGGCUCCCUAGGAGUACCUAGGAAACUUUGGGUGAUAAUACCUUCCCUUUGUGUAACUAAUCCCCUUACCUAUAAUCUAUGACAUUUAAUUAGUUUUGAUUUGAAAACUUCUUAUAUUUGGGUUUUGU